AGACCUCGCGCUAUUGGAUGAGCCUGCGUUGGAUUAGCUAGUUGGUGGGGUAAAGGCCCACCAAGGCGACGAUCCAUAGCUGGUCUGAGAGGACGAUCAGCCACACUGGGACUGAGACACGGCCCAGACUCCUACGGGAGGCAGCAGUGGGGAAUAUUGCGCAAUGGGCGAAAGCCUGACGCAGCCAUGCCGCGUGUGUGAAGAAGGCUCUAGGGUUGUAAAGCACUUUCAGUGGGGAGAAAACGCCUGUAGUUAAUAGCUGCAGGAAUUGAUGUACCCACAGAAGAAGCACCGCUAACU
RNAcentral lists this ribosomal RNA (300 nucleotides) under uncultured bacterium. Its description in RNAcentral is "bacterial SSU rRNA". It matches the Rfam family "Bacterial small subunit ribosomal RNA", at positions 208 to 502 of the family's 1533-position model. The record is from RNAcentral.